UCCGAACCGGCCGCGAGGGCCGAGGUGAUGCCGGCCGGCAUGUUGGCGCCGAGUGCGUUGGACACCACCGGGCCGGCCGCCUUGAGCGCCUCGGCGAUGAGCCGGGUGGUGGUGGUCUUGCCGUUGGUCGCCGAGACGAGGGUCACGUCCAGGUGCUGGGCGAGCCGGGCCAGGAGGUCGGGGUCGAGUUUGAGCGCGACCCGGCCACCGAUCACCGAACCGCUGCCGCGCCCGGCGGCGCGGGACGCCGCCGCGACCGCCUUGCCCGCGGUCACGGCGAUCUUGGCCCGCGGCGUGAGCGGGUCCGAGUUGCCUGUCAUCAGUUCUCGAUCCUCCUUGCGUACGCGCCGCGCCUGAAGCCUGUGAAGCCUGACGGCCACGUGGUGGGACCUCAGCCUAUCGAGAUCCAUUCGCACUCCCGAAUCGCGGCACCGGCCACGGGGUUCCGACGGUGGGCGCGAGCCGCCGGGGGACACAGGGACCUUACUCUUGCCGCCAUGCGACACGGCUCCAUCCCGGGCUCCCACGGGCGCGUCCGGCCCCUCAGUCUCCUCGGCGACCCCGUCCUGCACGCUCCCUGCGAGGAGGUGAGGGACUUCGGUCCGGAACUCGCGGCGCUCGUGGAGGACUUGUUCGCCACGAUGUACGCCGCCCGCGGCGUGGGUCUGGCCGCCAACCAGAUCGGCGAACCGGUCCGGGUCUUCGUGUACGACUGCCCGGACGACGAGGACGAGCGCCACCUCGGGCACGUGGUGAACCCGCGGCUGGUGGAGAGUGGCGGGCCGGUGGUGCGCGGGCCCGAGGGGUGUCUGUCGCUGCCGGGGCUCGAGGCCGGGACCGAGCGCCACGACGAGGCGGUCGUGGCGGGUUUCACGGUGGCCGGGGAGCCGGUCACCGCGCGCGGCACGGGGUUCUUCGCACGGUGUCUCCAGCACGAGUGCGACCAUCUGGAGGGCGGUCUCUACGUCGACCGCCUCACGGGGUGGCGCAGGCGCCGGGUGCUGCGGCAGGCGUCCCGGGCGUCCUGGAGCCGUACCGGUACGCCAAAGCGGGCGAGGGACCGGGGCUAGGGGGGCGUCGUUCGGAUCAGCUCCGCUCACCGGCGUUGAUCAGCCACGUUCCUUCCCUGCGAACAGGAUCCGAACGACAGCCCCUAGAACCCGGGGCCGCCCGCCUUGUCCCCGGCCUCGGCGAGCCGGCCCCAGAGCAGGUCGGCCAGGCUGCGGACCAGGUCCGCCCGGGAACACGGGCGUUCGCCCAGCCACCAGUCCCCGGCGGCGUGCAUCAUGCCGACGAUCCCGUGGCCCCAGACCCGGGCCAUCUGCUGGGUGCCCGGCCCCACGUCCAGACGCUCCUCGAUGACCUGGGCCAGCUCCUCGCCCAUGCGGCGCAGCAGCGGUGCCGAGUGCUUGCCGACGUCGAAGCCGGACUCGGCCUGGUCGCCCGGACCGGUGCUGCCCUCGGCCGGAUGCAUCAGGAAGCGGUACACCUGCGGGCGUGCCUCGAUGGCCGCCAGGUAGGUGUCCAGGGUGGACUCGACGCGCCUGCGCCGCUCCGCCGGGGCGUCCAGCGCGGUCCGCAGCGAGGACAGGAGCGCGUCGGUGUGCCGCUGCGCGAGGGCGGCGUAGAGUCCGCCCUUGUCGCCGAAGUGGCGGUAGAGGAUGGGCUUGGUGAUGCCGGCCUCGGCGGCGAUGGCGUUCAUCGAGGCCUGUGGGCCGUCGCGCAGCACCACCCGGUCGGCGGCCUCCAGAAGCUCGCGCCGUCUGCGGUCGGCGGACCGCUGCUGAUCGGUCCGCUGUGUGGUGUCCAUGUGCUCUCCCCACCCGUGCUCGUUCGGUGACGCCUGCGCAAACUAACACCCACCGGGCGUGGGGCAUCGAACGGGAGGGUGACGGGUUCUCGGGAGUUGACUUUUCUUACCCGUCGGUAACAGACUCGGGUUACCGCAAGUAACAUGCACGUGCGUCACUGGAGGGGACAUGGCCGAGUUCACCAUGGAGCUCAACGACGAACAGAAGGAGGUCCGGGACUGGCUGCACGGCUUCGCGGCCGACGUCAUCCGCCCCGCGGCCGCCGAAUGGGACGAGCGUGAGGAGACUCCCUGGCCGGUCAUCCAGGAGGCAGCCAAGGUCGGCAUCUACUCCCUCGACUUCUACGCCCAGCAGUACUUCGACCCCACCGGUCUCGGCAUCCCCAUGGCGAUGGAGGAGCUGUUCUGGGGUGACGCCGGCAUCGCCCUGUCCAUCGUCGGUACCGGCCUCGCCGCCGUCGGCGUCCUCGCCAACGGUACCGAGGAGCAGAUCGGCACCUGGAUCCCCCAGAUGUACGGCGACGCGAGUGACGUGAAGGUCGCCGCGUUCUGCUCCUCCGAGCCCGACGCCGGCUCCGACGUGGCCUCCAUGCGCACGCGUGCCGUGUACGACGAGGCCAAGGACGAGUGGGUCCUCAAUGGGACGAAGACGUGGGCGACGAACGGCGGCAUCGCCAACGUCCACGUCGUCGUCGCGGUCGUCGACGCGGAGCUGGGCUCCAAGGGCCACGCGUCGUUCAUCAUCCCCCCGAACACCCCGGGCCUGUCCCAGGGGCAGAAGUUCAAGAAGCACGGCAUCCGCGCCUCGCACACCGCCGAGGUGAUCCUCGACAACGUGCGUGUCCCCGGCUCCUGCCUGCUCGGCGGCAAGGAGAAGCUGGACGCCCGUCUGGCCCGCGCCCGGGAGAAGGCCAAGAAGGGCGGCGAGCGCGUCAAGAACGCCGCGAUGGCCACCUUCGAGGCGUCCCGACCGGCGGUCGGCGCCAUGGCGGUGGGUACGGCCCGUGCCGCGUACGAGGUGGCGCUGGAUUACGCCCGGACGCGUGAGCAGUUCGGCCGCCCGAUCAUCGACAACCAGGGCGUCGCCUUCCAGCUCGCCGACAUGCGCACCUCCAUCGACGCCGCGCGGCUGCUGGUGUGGCGGGCCUCCUGGAUGGCGAUCAACGGCAAGCCGUUCACGGCUGCCGAGGGGUCGAUGUCCAAGCUCUUCGCGAGCGAGACGGCGAAGAAGGUGACCGCCCAGGCAGUCCAGAUCCUGGGCGGCAACGGCUACACGCGGGAGUACCCGGUGGAGCGCAUGCACCGGGACUCCGCGAUUUACACGAUCUUCGAGGGGA
This 3147-nucleotide ribosomal RNA is filed under the name Streptomyces mutabilis. The record is from RNAcentral. Lineage: Bacteria; Bacillati; Actinomycetota; Actinomycetes; Kitasatosporales; Streptomycetaceae.